RNAcentral lists this long non-coding RNA (1442 nucleotides) under Manihot esculenta (cassava). RNAcentral's name for it is "long non-coding RNA (MESC_LNC006056)". Lineage: Eukaryota; Viridiplantae; Streptophyta; Magnoliopsida; Malpighiales; Euphorbiaceae. The record is from RNAcentral.
CGCCCUGAAGUUGAGAGGGCGAGUCUGUCCGACCUGAAGCCCACUUGUCCUGAGGUCGGGUCUUCUUUUCUCUCGGUCCCAAGCACUAUGGUCAUCCGGGCUCUCCUUUUUACGAGUGGGACCACGUAUUGGUUUAUCAGGUUCUUGCUAUGUGGCUCUAUCUUAUGGUGACAGCUCACUGCCUACUUUGGAAGAUUGUUGUGUAACAUUAGAGAUCCCCCUGUUGGUCUUCGAUUCUUUAGAUUCGAAAGUAACAAUUCUCAUCAUGAUCUGGGGCAUGUGGCUUGUUUGUCCGAGCUGAGCGCAUGAUGUUCUUGCUUUCUUCUUAUUUGCCUUGCCAACUAGUUAGGUCCAAGAUCUUGUCUGGAAAAAAUCGAUAAAGUGAUAUAAUAAUGCCUUAACGGGUUUCCAGGCUCUUUCUAGCACCAACUAGCCCUAGAGAUAAUUUGGGCAUCUUCUAGCCCUUACGAGCUCCUUCGCCUUUUCCAGUCUUAUUGAGCUUCUGGGUAUUUUUCAGCCCUGAUUACAGACGUAAAUGGGAUCUAUUAGAUUAUAACUGUUAACGGUAGCUUCCUUGUGGAGCCUCACCCUGAAGUUGAGAGGGCGAGUCUGUCCGACCUGCAGCCCACUUGUCCUGAGGUCGGGUCUUCUUUUCUCUCGGUCAGGCACUAUGGUCAUCCGAGCUCUCCUUUUUACGAGUGGGACCACGUAUUGGUUUAUCAGGUUCUUGCUAUGUGGCUCUAUCUUAUGGUGACAGCUCACUGCCUAUUUUGGAAGAUUGUUGUGUAACAUUAGAGAUCCCCCUGUUGGUCUUCGAUUUUUUAGAUUCGAAGGUAACAAUUCUCAUCAUGAUCUGGGGCAUGUGGCUUGUUUGUCCGAGCUGAGCGCAUGAUGUUCUUGCUUUCUUCUUAUUUGCCUUGCCAACUAGUUAGGUCCAAGAUCUUGUCUGGAAAAAAUCAAUCAAGUGAUAUAAUAAUGCCUUAAUGAGUUUCCAGGCUCUUUCUAGCACCAACUAGCCCUAGAGAUAAUUUGGGCAUCUUCUAGCCCUUACGAGCUCCUUCGCCUUUUCUAGUCUUAUUGAGCUUCCGGGUAUUUUUCAGCCCUGAUUACAGACGUAAAUGGGAUCUAUUAGAUUGUAACUGUCAACGGUAGCUUCCUUGUGGAGCCUCGCCCUGAAGUUGAGAGGGCGAGUCUGUCUGACCUGCAGCCCACUUGUCCUGAGGUCGGGUCUUCUUUUCUCUCGGUCCCAGGCACUAUGGUCAUCCGAGCUCUCCUUUUUACGAGUGGGACCACGUAUUGAUUUAUCAGGUUCUUGCUAUGUGACUCUAUCUUAUGGUGACAGCUCACUGCCUAUUUUGGAAGAUUGUUGUGUAACAUUAGAGAUCCCCCUGUUGGUCCUCGAUUUUUUAGAUUCGAAGGUAACAAUUCUCAUCAUGAUCUGG